UGGCUGUCGUCAGCUCGUGUCGUGAGAUGUUGGGUUAAGUCCCGUAACGAGCGCAACCCUUGUCCUUAGUUACCAGCACGUUAAGGUGGGCACUCUAAGGAGACUGCCGGUGACAAACCGGAGGAAGGUGGGGAUGACGUCAAGUCAUCAUGGCCCUUACGGCCUGGGCUACACACGUGCUACAAUGGUCGGUACAAAGGGUUGCCAAGCCGCGAGGUGGAGCUUAUCCAAUAAAACCGAUCGUAGUCCGGAUCGCAGUCUGCAACUCGACUGCGUGAAGUCGGAAUCGCUAGUAAUCGUGAAUCAGAAUGUCACGGUGAAUACGUUCCCGGGCCUUGUACACACCGCCGUACACACCAC
Molecule: ribosomal RNA, 360 nt
Filed under: Stutzerimonas stutzeri
Lineage: Bacteria; Pseudomonadati; Pseudomonadota; Gammaproteobacteria; Pseudomonadales; Pseudomonadaceae
Description: bacterial SSU rRNA
Rfam family: Bacterial small subunit ribosomal RNA
Source: RNAcentral